CUGUCACCUCCAGACUCCUCUAACUUAUAAUUCUCCAGCUUCCUUUCACAGGGAUAGAAUUUUUAUUUUGUAAGAGAUUUAUUAAAAGUUAAAUCAGCGUCUAAUACAGAAAUGAUUUUGUAAAGACCUAUGAAUCGAAAACUGAGUAGAGACUAAUAAAAAUCAGAUGUUAAAUGACUUGAGAAAAAAGAUACAUCUUACAUUUUCCCCGUUAUUGAGCUCAAAGUAUAAGAAAUUGAGCUAUUUAUAGGCCUUCAAAUUGUUAGGAUUUUAUUGGUGGAGGGAGGGAAAGGAGACACACUUCUGUGCUGAAACAAGAUUUUAUGAAAACUUUGGCGCCAAAAAGGACUGUCGUGGUUUUACCCCAGCCAGUAGCUGAGCACCAUGCAGGCGCUCACUCACUCCCCCCCAUCUUCCCCAAGCUCCUUAUAAACUGAGCAUGACAUCAUAUGGUAUGGAAUACCCCUUUGGUCAAUUUGGGUCACCUGUCCUGUCUGUGUCUCCUCCCAACUUCUUGUGCACCCCCAGCCAUCCCGCUGGCAGGGCAGUGCAAGAAGCAGAAAAGGCCUUGGCCCCGUGUAAACACUGCUCAACAAUAAGUCCAUAGAACAAAAACAUCUCUAUAUUAUCAACACUGUCUCCAGCACAAAUCCAAAACAUAUCCCCACACUAGCUACUAUGAAGAAAAUCAACCCUCUCAGCUAAAAUCAGGACAAUGAGGAAAAAAAAUCAAGAGCUUUGUAAUCUAUUCAGUAGUUCAGAAAACCAAACUAUAAAUGGUAAAGUUUAAAUAUACUGGAAGCUCCUAUUCUCCAUUUGAGAGGUGAGAUUUGAAAUUGGAGAUUCAGAAUUUCCUGGAAAAGAGUGACCAGUUUUAGUAACGCUGUAAAAGUGAGCAAUAAAAUAGGAAGAAGAAAUUCUAUGACAACUCUGCAAGUGGAAAACAAAGAGCUGAGACAUACUGAAGCAGAUUAAGCUGCUUAUAACAGCUAGCUCUGGAAUAUCUAUAAAGUGCUGCCAAUACAGUUUUAAAUGAACACGUUGCACAUCUAGCAUGGGGCAGAUAAACCCCAGAUUAGGUAUACUUAGAAUUCCUCCAAAGUUUUAGAAAGAUUUUUACCUCAGGGAAACCUCUUGCAACGUAAUAUUUAUAAAACAGUUUAUACAGAACAUACUUAAUGCUAGUUCAGUGCUCUCUACUAAAAAGAUGGUAUUUCAAAAGUAAAAGGUGCAGGUUACGAUUUAUAGGCUCAAAUGACAUCUAAAAUUUUUGCAAAUUAUAACCUAUAACAGUAGUCUAAAAAAUUGCUGAUUUAAGAUUACCUUCCAGAUUUUAAAACCCCAUUCCAAAGACAACAGCCAUUAGAGCUUAAAUUACAUACAGCAAAUCAAGAAUCGUUCUUAGGCAAAUACUGAAUUUUUAUUUACAGAAAAAGACAGUAACCCUGUCCCUUUGAAGAUAACUUUUCAAGUGUUAAUUGAGCUUAAGCAGAUACAGUCUUGCCUCCCCAAGACUGCUGACAGGUACAAGGCCAGCGAUGUCUCCAAGGAAAAACUACUAUUUAGUUUUCAUUGCAGCUAUUUAAAAAUACAAGGCUCAAGAUAUAAGUUAGUAUGCAUCAAAUUUGCCCCUUUUGCUGCUUCUAUUUUAGAAAUACGAGAGGAAGAGACGAAAAGGGGGUUUAAAGCACAUGACAGAACUAUCAAGUACUCUGCCAUGCAGUCAGGGAGAGGGAAAAAAAUCCCUACUACAGCAGGGAAAAAAAUGUGGUGUGGUAAUUAAGUAUCUAUCUGAUCAAAUGAAGCAGACUAGAGAAUAACCUUGCAUAUUGUUUAUCUAAACUGUUAUAUUUCAAGUAAUAUUAAAGCUGGAGUCCUUGAGACAAUGUACUAUCGUGGGAUUCUACCAGGACUCCCAACACAUGGGGGAGCUGGGGAGAGAGGUGCAUGUUGCAUUCCUUGAGGACCCCACGUUUUAUGCCACCUUUUGAUCUAACAGAUGGAGACAGAGGAUAUUACGACCUGAUAAUAUUAAGGUGAGGAUGAAAAGCAGUCAAGGGAAGAAAAAAAAAGAGAUUAGACACAGAGGAAAAAAAAGUAAUAAAGAACAUUUAGAAACAGAUUUUAAGAAAAGGAGAUAAACAAGUAACAGAGAGGAGAUGGAGAUAAAUAUGAAAGUGAAACCGUGCCCACUGAAUUAAAUAAAUAAAUAAAUCCUUAGUGAGAAGGUAAAAGGGAACCACAGCCUGGAAAAAGACAAAAGGAUUAUGAAAACAAACACUCUCGUAAAGUAAUAUUAUAUGGAAGUUCUAUAUAAUGCUGAUAUCUUUCUGUGGGUCCAUAAAUUCUUUCUGCCCAAGCUCAUGGUGAGGAGGAGUAGGGAGGUUUCUAAGAAUCUAUCUGAACCACACUUAUAUUAUGCAUCCAAAAUAUCUCCACACACACCACCACCCUGCAAAAAACUCUAACAUUUUUGUUUGCAAGAGAAUAAAUACAGUAUUUGAAUCAAUCUAGAUUAUGUAAGUUUCUUCAGAUUUUCUAAAAGGCAAAAUAAACCCAUUUCCAGUACUAUCUUUCAAGAACAGGAACUUGUUUUUAGAAGAAUUACUCUACAGUGAUAAGUAAAUGAUAUAUCUGGAUUAAUUUAUCGGCAUGUCUGAAGAAGAAAAUACUAGAAGAUGAUUUUUUACCUCCUCCCACUCAAAGCUAAUUCUUACUAUAUUUUCAAAAAAUGCACAUGAAGACUAAGUAUAGAAAAAUGUGCCAACAUUCCUCACCAAAAAUAGGCAAAGAAUGGGAAGAUGAAAUUUUAAGAGCAAAUGGGGUAUACCAGCUGUUCAGGAUUUAGAAAGGGAACCCUUCCAGUCCUCAGAACAAAAUGCAUUACUUCUGUGCUGAGGAAGAUUGAGCAGAAUCAGGAGUUAAGCUGGGAUACUUGGCAAGUGACCCUCUGCUCUUAACACGAGGGCUUAAACUGCUGGUCAAAACUGAAUGCUUGUGCUGUGAUCCUACCUUGCAUGGACCUGAAAUGGAAUAAUGAGAUUAAAUAUUCUGCAGACACAGGGUGAGGGAAGCACAACCGCUGCUCAAACAACAUCAGAGCAACGCUGAGAAGCUGCAGUAAUCUUGGCUAACUCUGGACGAGAAGGAUAAACGCCUUGCACCUUAGCACAAGCUUCUUACGUGCCUGAAAAAUACUGAGGAGACUUCCAAUUAAAGAGGGGAGAAGAGAGAAACACGGACCCGCCACCGCUUCAGCGCGGGAGCCCUGAGGGCGCCGUGACGACCCCGGCCCGCAGCACCUCCCACCCGCCUCUCAUGGCUCCCCGGCACCCCCAGCGAGGCGCCUCUCGCACCGGGCUUUCCCCCUCCCACCAUUUGAGGAGUCGUUCCUGGAUGUCCUUGUCCUCCAAGCAGGAGAAAGCUUUCUGCGGCAGGGAGCGGAAAACGAAGCCCACCGCGCAGCGCCCAACCCCGGCAGACAUCUUCCAGCGCCAGCGGCAGCUCGGCAGUUGCUAUGGAAACGGCGCCGCAAAAGCGGUGCGCUACCGGCGCGCUCCCGCCGCGGGGCUCGGCCCCGCUCACAAGCGUUCCGCCGCCUGACGGGGCCCUCGCUCACCCCUUCCCCGUGAGGGCCGGAAGGCACGGCUGUCUCCGUUCUGACAGGAUUUCUUUGAUUUUUACCUAUAAAAUCCCCUAAUUAAACAUCAGUCUUCACCCCACUCCCCUCUGCUCCUGUCUAUGCACCGGGAAAAUUCAGGCUUGCCAAAGGAAAACCUAGCAGACUGACUGGCAUGCAAAGGCAGGGUCUACCAUUACUGGCUUAAUCAACACCACCCUCAAUAACGUAAUGCCAAAACGAAUUAUGAAAAGCCCAAAGUUAUGAAUUACAAAGGUAUAAUGAAGCACGGCUUCAUCUUGGUUCCCAGGGUGUUGAGCCAUUUGGGAGUAGCGAGGCUGUGCUUUCAAGCUUUUCCCAGUGGAAAAUUUAAGGAGAGGACAUUGUUACUUAAGGAAGUUAUUUUUAAAAGUCCAGUAAAGCAAAAGACACCUUGCAAAAUUUGGGAAUUUCCUGCCCUUUGCAGGGAAAGCAGUCAGAGUUUAAGGCUGCUGUACAUCUCACGCUAUAUCCUUUAGCAAUCCA
Long non-coding RNA from Grus americana (Whooping crane), 4144 nucleotides. RefSeq lists it as uncharacterized. The record is from RefSeq and is a predicted model, not a curated record. NCBI's taxonomy places the organism in Eukaryota, Metazoa, Chordata, Aves, Gruiformes, Gruidae. The transcript has 3 exons.